AGUGAACGCUGGCGGUAGGCCUAACACAUGCAAGUCGAACGGCAGCACAGUAAGAGCUUGCUCUUACGGGUGGCGAGUGGCGGACGGGUGAGGAAUACAUCGGACUCUACUUUUUCGUGGGGGAUAACGUAGGGAAACUUACGCUAAUACCGCAUACGACCUACGGGUGAAAGCAGGGGAUCUUCGGACCUUGCGCGAUUGAAUGAGCCGAUGUCGGAUUAGCUAGUUGGCGGGGUAAAGGCCCACCAAGGCGACGAUCCGUAGCUGGUCUGAGAGGAUGAUCAGCCACACUGGAACUGAGACACGGUCCAGACGCCUGCGGGAGGCAGCAGUGGGGAAUAUUGGACAAUGGGCGCAAGCCUGAUCCAGCCAUACCGCGUGGGUGAAGAAGGCCUUCGGGUUGUAAAGCCCUUUUGUUGGGAAAGAAAAGCAGCAGGUUAAUACCCCGCUGUUCUGACGGUACCCAAAGAAUAAGCACCGGCUAACUUCGUG
RNAcentral lists this ribosomal RNA (492 nucleotides) under uncultured bacterium. RNAcentral's name for it is "partial 16S ribosomal RNA". It matches the Rfam family "Bacterial small subunit ribosomal RNA", at positions 29 to 507 of the family's 1533-position model. The record is from RNAcentral.